GACGAACGCUGGCGGCGUGCUUAACACAUGCAAGUCGAACGGAAAGGCCCUGCUUUUGUGGGGUGCUCGAGUGGCGAACGGGUGAGUAACACGUGAGUAACCUGCCCUUGACUUUGGGAUAACUUCAGGAAACUGGGGCUAAUACCGGAUAGGAGCUCCUGCUGCAUGGUGGGGGUUGGAAAGUUUCGGCGGUUGGGGAUGGACUCGCGGCUUAUCAGCUUGUUGGUGGGGUAGUGGCUUACCACGGCUUUGACGGGUAGCCGGCCUGAGAGGGUGACCGGGCACAUUGGGACUGAGAUACGGCCCAGACUCCUACGGGAGGCAGCAGUGGGGAGUAUGGCACAAUGGGCCGGAGCCUGAUGCAGCGACGCCGCGUGCGGGAUGACGGCCUGCUGGUUGUAAACCGCUUUCGCCUGUACCGAAGCGGGAGUGACGGUAAUGGGUAAAGAAGCACCGGCUAACUACGUG
This 468-nucleotide ribosomal RNA is filed under the name uncultured bacterium. RNAcentral's name for it is "partial 16S ribosomal RNA". It matches the Rfam family "Bacterial small subunit ribosomal RNA", at positions 28 to 507 of the family's 1533-position model. The record is from RNAcentral.